This is a non-coding RNA of Cololabis saira (Pacific saury), 90 nucleotides long. The record is from the annotation of a RefSeq genome assembly. NCBI's taxonomy places the organism in Eukaryota, Metazoa, Chordata, Actinopteri, Beloniformes, Belonidae.
GACAAGGUGGCCGAGUGGUUAAGGCGAUGGAUUGCUAAUCCAUUGUGCUCUGCACGCAUGGGUUCAAAUCCCAUUCAGUCGUGCUUGUUU